CGCCCGUCAAACUAUGAGAGCUGGUAAUACCUGAAACCGUUAGGCUAACCUCGUGAGGCUUGCGUCUAGGGUAGGACUGGUGAUUGGAGUUAAGUCGUAACAAGGUACCCCUACGGGAAUGUGGGGGUGGAUCACCUCCUUUCUAACGGAGUUAAUUUAAUUAAUUAACUAACAUUAGAUGUUAGUGUACAUUUUAUAAAAUCCAAUUUUCUUUAUUAACCUAAUAUUAAUAAAUAAAGAAUUUGGUCAGAUUCUAUUUAGUUUUGAGAGAUUUUUCUCUCAGGAUAGUUCUUUGAAAACUGAAUAUUACAACAAUCUUUUUAGUCUAAUUCAUAUUUAACAAGAAUUUUAGAGGAUACAAAAUAAGUUACUAAGGGCUUAUGGUGGAUGCCUUGGGACUGGAAGGCGAUGAAGGACGUGCAAACCUGCGAUAAGCUACGGGUAGCUGGUAAGAGGCGUUUAUCCGUAGAUGUCCGAAUGGGGGAACCCGAUAGAUAGUGAUAUCUAUCAUUAUUAGCUGAAUAAAUAGGUUAAUAAGGCGAUACCUGGUGAAGUGAAACAUCUCAGUAACCAGAGGAAAAGAAAACGAAGUGAUUCCGUAAGUAGCGGCGAGCGAAAGCGGAACAGGCCAAACCGGAUUAAUUUCCGGGGUUGUAGGACUGCAAUGUGGACUUAAAUAGGAUAGUAGAAGUGGUUGGGAAGCCACAUCAUAGAGGGUGACAAUCCCGUAUACGAAAUCUUAUUUAUACCUAGCAGUAUCCUGAGUACGGCGGGACACGUGGAAUCUUGUCGGAAUCUGCCCAGACCAUUGGGUAAGCCUAAAUACUAACCAGCCACCGAUAGCGUAUA
This 849-nucleotide small RNA is filed under the name Malacoplasma microti. RNAcentral describes it as "bacterial LSU rRNA". The stretch from base 361 to 849 matches the Rfam family "Bacterial large subunit ribosomal RNA", at positions 1 to 496 of the family's 2925-position model. Lineage: Bacteria; Bacillati; Mycoplasmatota; Mycoplasmoidales; Mycoplasmoidaceae. The record is from RNAcentral.